Molecule: ribosomal RNA, 113 nt
Filed under: Escherichia coli
Lineage: Bacteria; Pseudomonadati; Pseudomonadota; Gammaproteobacteria; Enterobacterales; Enterobacteriaceae
Source: RNAcentral
GGCGGCCUUAGCGCGGUGGUCCCACCUGACCCCAUGCCGAACUCAGAAGUGAAACGCCGUAGCGCCGAUGGUAGUGUGGGGUCUCCCCAUGCGAGAGUAGGAAACUGCCAGGC